GAAGUCGCUCCCCUCUGCUGGCGAAGAUUUCGAAGCCUGACAGGUCAAAUUCGUAAGUGUUGUUCGGAAGCUGUAGCGCCAUAAUCGAACCGUGAACUGGCUGGUGCGCGAUCUUGCGCCUUACCGAUAAAAGCGACUGGAUAUUGUCGCGAAUCUUCGUCCAUCGCACGACAUCGGGGUGAUCUUUGCCCCCAUUCGGGCGCUCCCGUUUUGGAAGUACCGAUCUUAUUAUUUCGUCGGUCAAGCCGAG
This 250-nucleotide unclassified non-coding RNA is filed under the name uncultured bacterium. Its description in RNAcentral is "contains 16S-23S intergenic spacer region". The record is from RNAcentral.